CCCAAUGUGAACGUUACCAAACUGUUGCCUCGGCGGGAUCUCUGCCCCGGGUGCGUCGCAGCCCCGGACCAAGGCGCCCGCCGGAGGACCAACCUAAAACUCUUAUUGUAUACCCCCUCGCGGGUUUUUUUAUAAUCUGAGCCUUCUCGGCGCCUCUCGUAGGCGUUUCGAAAAUGAAUCAAAACUUUCAACAACGGAUCUCUUGGUUCUGGCAUCGAUGAAGAACGCAGCGAAAUGCGAUAAGUAAUGUGAAUUGCAGAAUUCAGUGAAUCAUCGAAUCUUUGAACGCACAUUGCGCCCGCCAGUAUUCUGGCGGGCAUGCCUGUCCGAGCGUCAUUUCAACCCUCGAACCCCUCCGGGGGGUCGGCGUUGGGGAUCGGCCCUCCCUUAGCGGGUGGCCGUCUCCGAAAUACAGUGGCGGUCUCGCCGCAGCCUCUCCUGCGCAGUAGUUUGCACACUCGCAUCGGGAGCGCGGCGCGUCCACAGCCGUUAAACACCCAACUUCUGAAAUGUUGACCUCGGAUCAGGUAGGAAUACCCGCUGAACUUAAGCAUAUCAAUAAGCGGAGGAAAAGAAACCAACAGGGAUUGCCCCAGUAACGGCGAGUGAAGCGGCAACAGCUCAAAUUUGAAAUCUGGCCCCUAGGGUCCGAGUUGUAAUUUGUAGAGGAUGCUUUUGGUGAGGUGCCGCCCGAGUUCCCUGGAACGGGACGCCACAGAGGGUGAGAGCCCCGUCUGGCUGGCCGCCGAGCCUCUGUAAAGCUCCUUCGACGAGUCGAGUAGUUUGGGAAUGCUGCUCAAAAUGGGAGGUAUAUGUCUUCUAAAGCUAAAUAUUGGCCAGAGACCGAUAGCGCACAAGUAGAGUGAUCGAAAGAUGAAAAGCACCUUGAAAAGAGGGUUAAAUAGUACGUGAAAUUGUUGAAAGGGAAGCGCUUGUGACCAGACUUGGGCGCGGCGGAUCAUCCGGGGUUCUCUCCGGUGCACUUCGCCGCGUCUAGGCCAGCAUCAGUUCGUCGCGGGGGAAAAAGGCUUCGGGAACGUGGCUCCUCCGGGAGUGUUAUAGCCCGUUGCAUAAUACCCUGCGGUGGACUGAGGACCGC
Molecule: ribosomal RNA, 1099 nt
Filed under: fungal endophyte
Lineage: Eukaryota; Fungi
Description: eukaryotic LSU rRNA
Rfam family: Eukaryotic large subunit ribosomal RNA (bases 514-1099)
Source: RNAcentral